RNAcentral lists this ribosomal RNA (801 nucleotides) under uncultured organism. RNAcentral's name for it is "bacterial SSU rRNA". It matches the Rfam family "Bacterial small subunit ribosomal RNA", at positions 70 to 879 of the family's 1533-position model. The record is from RNAcentral.
AUCCAUGGUGUAGCAAUACACCGGAAGAUUUAGUGGCGAACGGGUGAGGAUCACGUGAGAAACGUGCCCCAGACUCUGGGAUAACAAUUGGAAACGAUUGCUAAUACCGGAUGACGUCGGAGAAUCGCAUGAUUCACUGACGAAAGAUAUUUCGGUUUGGGAGCGUCUCGCGGCCUAUCAGCUUGUUGGUGGGGUAAUGGCCUACCAAGGCAACGACGGGUAGCUGGUCUGAGAGGAUGAUCAGCCACACUGGGACUGAGACACGGCCCAGACUCCUACGGGAGGCAGCAGUGGGGAAUCUUGCGCAAUGGGCGAAAGCCUGACGCAGCAACGCCGCGUGCGGGAUGAAGGCCUUCGGGCUGUAAACCGCUUUCAGCAGGAACGAAAAUGACGGUACCUGCAGAAGAAGGAGCGGCCAACUACGUGCCAGCAGCCGCGGUGACACGUAGGCUCCAAGCGUUGUCCGGAUUUAUUGGGCGUAAAGAGCUCGUAGGCGGUUGAGUAAGUCGGGUGUGAAAACUCUGGGCUUAACCCGGAGACGCCAUCCGAUACUGCUCUGACUAGAGUUCAGGAGGGGAGUGGGGAAUUCCUAGUGUAGCGGUGAAAUGCGCAGAUAUUAGGAGGAACACCGGUGGCGAAGGCGCCACUCUGGACUGAAACUGACGCUGAGGAGCGAAAGCAUGGGUAGCAAACAGGAUUAGAUACCCUGGUAGUCCAUGCCGUAAACGGUGGGCACUAGGUGUGGGUUCCAACUAACGGGAUCCGCGCCGUCGCUAACGCAUUAAGUGCCCCGCCUGGGGA